This 468-nucleotide ribosomal RNA is filed under the name uncultured bacterium. RNAcentral describes it as "partial 16S ribosomal RNA". It matches the Rfam family "Bacterial small subunit ribosomal RNA", at positions 28 to 507 of the family's 1533-position model. The record is from RNAcentral.
GACGAACGCUGGCGGCGUGCUUAACACAUGCAAGUCGAACGGAAAGGCCCUGCUUUUGUGGGGUGCUCGAGUGGCGAACGGGUGAGUAACACGUGAGUAACCUGCCCUUGACUUUGGGAUAACUUCAGGAAACUGGGGCUAAUACCGGAUAGGAGCUCCUGCUGCAUGGUGGGGGUUGGAAAGUUUCGGCGGUUGGGGAUGGACGCGCGGCUUAUCAGCUUGUUGGUGGGGUAGUGGCUUACCAAGGCUUUGACGGGUAGCCGGCCUGAGAGGGUGACCGGCCACAUUGGGACUGAGAUACGGACCAGACUGCUACGGGAGGCAGUAGUGGGGAAUAUUGCACAAUGGGAGGAAGCCUGAUGCAGCAACGCCGGGUGCGGGAUGACGGCCUUCGGGUUGUAAACCGCUUUCGCCUGUGACGAAGCGUGAGUGACGGUAAUGGGUAAAGAAGCACCGGCUAACUACGUG